Non-coding RNA from Coffea arabica (coffee), 116 nucleotides. The record is from RefSeq and is a predicted model, not a curated record. NCBI's taxonomy places the organism in Eukaryota, Viridiplantae, Streptophyta, Magnoliopsida, Gentianales, Rubiaceae.
UCCCUCAUCACUCACCCAACAAAGUGUGUGACAGUGGUGUUUUCGUUAUGACAUUCCUAGAGCAUUGGAGCGGAAGGUUGGCUGUUCGGCUUACAGAGGAAAAUGUUGGCAAGUAU